Neofelis nebulosa (Clouded leopard) is the source of this 467-nucleotide long non-coding RNA. RefSeq lists it as uncharacterized. The record is from RefSeq and is a predicted model, not a curated record. Lineage: Eukaryota; Metazoa; Chordata; Mammalia; Carnivora; Felidae. The transcript has 3 exons.
UUCUAUUAGGGUUUAUAAAUCACCUUCUAAGAACCUCAAUUGCUGUUCACUUCAUUCACACUUCACACGAUCUCAGGAUGGAGUUUGUGUUGGCAGCUGGAGGCAAGCAGAGAAAAGGCAUAUUGAUGAGAUGGUGCAUCACAGUCUGGCACUUGCCCUGGCUUGAGACAUCCGCAGAGGAUCAUUGCCCCAAGGAGGAGUGGCAGCCACCCUGGAAAGGAUUGAAGAUACAUAUUGACACAAAACUUUGGUCCAAGGGAGGUGGCCUAGGAAAGUGAAGGAAAAGAUAAAAAUCCUAUCUGAAGAAAAAUGGUUGGAAGGACUGGAGAUAUUUAAUUUGUAAAAGAAAAGACUUUGGGGAGACAUUGCUUUUUCCAAACAUCUGAAGCAUAAAAAGAUAAAUUGGAUCAACUGGAUGGCUUCUGGUGUUAGAAUAAAGAGUAAUGCCUGGGAUUACAGGGAGGCAG